CGUGUAGGCGGAGGAGCAAGUCAGAUGUGAAAUCCCGGGGCUUAACCCCGGAACUGCAUUUGAAACUGUUUCCCUUGAGUAUCGGAGAGGCAAGCGGAAUUCCUAGUGUAGCGGUGAAAUGCGUAGAUAUUAGGAGGAACACCAGUGACGAAGGCGGCUUGCUGGACGACAACUGACGCUGAGGCGCGAAAGCGUGGGGAGCAAACA
Molecule: ribosomal RNA, 207 nt
Filed under: uncultured bacterium
Lineage: Bacteria
Description: partial 16S ribosomal RNA
Rfam family: Bacterial small subunit ribosomal RNA
Source: RNAcentral